GACGAACCGUGCGAACGUUGUUCGGAUUCACUGGGCUUAAAGGGCGCGUAGGCGGGCGGUCAAGUCAGGGGUGAAAUCUUUCAGCUCAACUGGAAAAGUGCCUUUGAUACUGACUGUCUUGAGGGAGGUAGGGGCAUGUGGAACUUCCGGUGGAGCGGUGAAAUGCGUAGAUAUCGGAAGGAACGCCGGUGGCGAAAGCGACGUGCUGGACCUCUUCUGACGCUGAGGCGCGAAAGCUAGGGGAGCAAAC
This 250-nucleotide ribosomal RNA is filed under the name uncultured bacterium. RNAcentral describes it as "partial 16S ribosomal RNA". It matches the Rfam family "Bacterial small subunit ribosomal RNA", at positions 524 to 773 of the family's 1533-position model. The record is from RNAcentral.